CACGCAUGACACACUGCAUAUCAAUAAGCGGAGGAAAAGAAACUAACAAGGAUUCCCCUUAGUAACGGCGAGUGAAGCGGGAAGAGCUCAAAUUUGAAAUCUUCAAGGUUUUACCUUGACGAAUUGUAGUUUAAAGAAGUGUUUUCUGUUGAAGUUUCGGUAAAAGUUCUUUGGAAUAGGACAUCAUAGAGGGUGAGAAUCCCGUAUUUGACCGUUAUUUUCAGCUGUGUGAUACACUUUCAAAGAGUCGGAUUGUUUGGGAAUGCAGUCCAAAAUGGGUGGUAAAUUUCAUCUAAAGCUAAAUAUUGGCGAGAGACCGAUAGCGAACAAGUACCGUGAGGGAAAGAUGAAAAGAACUUUGAAAAGAGAGUUAAACAGUACGUGAAAUUGUCAAAAGGGAAGCGUUUGACACCAGUGUUGUUUUCUCGAAAAUCAAUUAAAAAUGGCUUGAUUUUGUGUUGUAUUGACCUUAAAAGCUUUCUUCACUUUUUUCAUGUCUUUUUUAAUGCACUUUUCGUUUAACAAGUCAACAUCAGUUUCUUUUGUUGUAAAAAGGUCAUUGGAAGGUGGCUUUCUUUUCGGAGAAAGUGUUUAUAGCCUUUGACUCCUACAAUCGGAGAGACUGAGGUCUGCAGCGUAGAUCCUUCUGGAUUAGAUUCAUUUGUGCUAAGUUAUAGCUUUUCAUAGACAACUUGUUGACUAUGUUUAGUCUUGUAGCUUACUCGCUUAUGUAAUUUUACCUACGCUUAGGAUGUUGACUGAUAUGUAGUCGUA
Molecule: ribosomal RNA, 774 nt
Filed under: uncultured Neocallimastigales
Lineage: Eukaryota; Fungi; Neocallimastigomycota; Neocallimastigomycetes; Neocallimastigales
Description: partial large subunit ribosomal RNA
Rfam family: Eukaryotic large subunit ribosomal RNA
Source: RNAcentral